UCUUGGCAUUCCAGGCAACGGAAGAGCCUGAAUGUGUCCUGACUUCUUGCUUAGCAAAAUUGGAUCACCCUGCACUUUGGGAGGCCGAGGCGGGCGGAUCACGAGGUCAGGAGAUCGAGACCAUCCCAGCUAAAACCCGUCUCAAAAAAAAAAAAAAAAAAAAAAAAAAAAAAAAAGACUAAGGUGUAAUCCAUCUAGCAUAUUUCCAGUGACCCAACAGGGGCUGCCUGAUUAUAGUAACUGGCUCUGAAUUGCUGCUUCUGCUCAACUUCCUGGAUGCUAGCAGUACCCAGGGAUGUAAAGACCUUUCAACUAGAGCUCAUAGCAGGCCCUUGUGUCUGAGAAUGACUGCUUCUGUGAUCUGAUGAGCACACGUGGUGUGCAUCCAGUGGCUCUGCUCUUAAACUAGGCCCAUGACUACCAACAGUCAUUCUUCCUGGGCUGCUGAGACCAGAAAAUAAAAGUGCCUUCCAAAGGGUUCACAGAUGCAGAGGAAUUUUGCCUCAGGAUGAAUUGCAUCUUCAGUCUCACCCAAACCUGAUUUAGAUAAUAUUUCAAUGAGACUUCGGACUUCAGACUUUACAGUUGAUGCUGCAACCAGUUAAGGCUUUUGGGAUUGUCGGAAUGGAAUGAAUGUAUUUUGCAUGUGAGAAGAACAUGAAGUGUGGGGGGGCCAUGGGCAGAAUAUUAUGGAUUGCAUGAUUUUGUCUCCCCAGAAUACAUAUGUUGAAAUUCUAAUCCCCAAUGUGAUGGUAUUAUGUGGUGGGAACUUUGGGAGGUAAUUAGGUUAUGAGGGUGGAGACCUCAUGUAAAGGAUUAGUGCCCUUAUAAGAAGAAACACAAGAGCUUGCUUCCUCUCUCUGCUCUCCACUAUGUGAAGAUAGAACAAGAAGAUGGCCAUCUGCAAACCAGGAAGAGAGCCCUCAUCAGACACUGGAUCUGCCAGCACCUUGAUCCUGGACUUCACAGCCUCCAGAACUGUGAGAAAUACAUAUAUGUUUUUUAAAGCACCCAGUCUGUGGCAUUUUGUUGUAGCAACCUGAGCUAAAACAGUUGCUAUUGAACUCUGUUCAGAGCUCCAGAUGUCCUGUGCUGGCACUGGGCAGGGUGCUCUCCUGGGCCAUUUCAUCAGCUCAGAGGCCUCACCUUCCACCAUAUGCUGAAGACCUCAAAUCUACAUCACAGUGAGACCUCCCCUGAGGUCUAGGCUAUUAAGUUGUAAGAUCUAUAAAAGCUUUCAUCACCUCACUUCCCUACUGGCCUUUACUCACCCUUCAAAAUGAUAAUUGUGUUAGUCAUUGAAAGAUGUGGCUGGGAUGAGAGUUCAGUUUACAGACUCUGCAGCUGGACUGCCUGGGUUCUGCCCUGGUUCCAC
This 1375-nucleotide long non-coding RNA is filed under the name Homo sapiens (human). Its description in RNAcentral is "HSALNT0017023". The record is from RNAcentral. Lineage: Eukaryota; Metazoa; Chordata; Mammalia; Primates; Hominidae.